AGCGAACGUUAGCGGCGGGCUUAACACAUGCAAGUCGAGCGAGAAAGUGGCUUCGGCCAUCAGUAAAGCGGCGGACGGGUGAGUAACACGUAGGUAAUCUUCCUUCGAGCGGGGGACAACGUUCCGAAAGGGACGCUAAUACCGCAUACGUUUCUCGGGACCUCGGUCCUGGGAAGGAAAGCUAGGUCGCAAGAUCCGGCACUCGAUGAGGAGCCUGCGUCGCAUCAGCUAAGUUGGUGGGGAAUGGCCUACCAAGGCGAAGACGCGUAGCUGGUCUGAGAGGAUGAUCAGCCACACUGAAACUGAGACACGGUUCAGACUCCUACGGGAGGCAGCAGUGGGGAAUAUUGGACAAUGGGCGCAAGCCUGAUCCAGCCACGCCGCGUGAGUGAUGAAGGCC
This 400-nucleotide ribosomal RNA is filed under the name uncultured bacterium. RNAcentral's name for it is "bacterial SSU rRNA". It matches the Rfam family "Bacterial small subunit ribosomal RNA", at positions 29 to 416 of the family's 1533-position model. The record is from RNAcentral.